This 502-nucleotide ribosomal RNA is filed under the name uncultured bacterium. Its description in RNAcentral is "partial 16S ribosomal RNA". It matches the Rfam family "Bacterial small subunit ribosomal RNA", at positions 29 to 523 of the family's 1533-position model. The record is from RNAcentral.
AUUGAACGCUGGCGGCAUGCCUUACACAUGCAAGUCGAACGGCAGCACGGGAGCUUGCUCCUGGUGGCGAGUGGCGAACGGGUGAGUAAUGCAUCGGAACGUACCCAGGAGUGGGGGAUAACUAUCCGAAAGGAUGGCUCAUACCGCAUAUUCUGUGAGCAGGAAAGCGGGGGAUCGCAAGACCUCGCGCUCUUGGAGCGGCCGAUGUCGGAUUAGCUAGGUGGUGAGGUAAAGGCUCACCAAGGCGACGCUCCGUAGCGGGUCUGAGAGGAUGAUCUGCCACACUGGGAGUGGGACACGGCCCAGACUCCUACGGGAGGCAGCAGUGGGGAAUUGUGGACAAUGGGGGCAAGCCUGAUCCAGCCAUGCCGCGUGAGUGAAGAAGGCCUUCGGGUUGUAAGGCUCUUUCGGCGGGGAAGAAAUAGCAACGGCUAAUAUCCGUUGUUGAUGACGGUACCCGCAUAAGAAGCACCGGCUAACUACGUGCCAGCCGCCGCGGUAA